UAUUGGUCAAUGGGUGCAAGCCUGAACCAGCCAUGCCGCGUGCAGGAAGACGGCCUUCUGGGUUGUAAACUGCUUUUUUCGGGGGAUAAAACGCCCAUGCGUGGGAGCUUGAAGGUACCCGAAGAAUAAGCCACGGCUAACUACGUGCCAGCAGCCGCGGUAAUACGUAGGUGGCGAGCGUUGUCCGGAUUUAUUGGGUUUAAAGGGUGCGUAGGCGGCCUAUUAAGUCAGUUCUGAAAUAUCCCGGCUUAACCGGGAGGGUGGGAUUGAUACUGAUGGGCUUGAGUGGAAUCGAGGUAGGCGGAAUUGACGGUGUAGCGGUGAAAUGCUUAGAUAUCGUCAAGAACACCGAUAGUGAAGACAGCUUACCAGGCUUCAACUGACGCUGAGGCACGAAAGUGUGGGGAUCAAACAGGA
Molecule: ribosomal RNA, 417 nt
Filed under: uncultured bacterium
Lineage: Bacteria
Description: bacterial SSU rRNA
Rfam family: Bacterial small subunit ribosomal RNA
Source: RNAcentral